UACGUAGGGGGCGAGCGUUGUCCGGAUUUAUUGGGCGUAAAGAGCUCGUAGGCGGUUCGAUAAGUCGGAUGUGAAAUCUCCACGCUCAACGUGGAGGGGCCAUUCGAUGCUGUCGUGACUCGAGUCCGGUAGGGGAGUGUGGAAUUCCCGGUGUAGCGGUGAAAUGCGCAGAGAUCGGGAGGAACACCCGUAGCGAAGGCGGCACUCUGGGCCGGUACUGACGCUGAGGAGCGAAAGCGUGGGGAGCAAACAGG
RNAcentral lists this ribosomal RNA (254 nucleotides) under uncultured bacterium. RNAcentral's name for it is "partial 16S ribosomal RNA". It matches the Rfam family "Bacterial small subunit ribosomal RNA", at positions 524 to 776 of the family's 1533-position model. The record is from RNAcentral.